This 855-nucleotide small RNA is filed under the name Pan troglodytes (chimpanzee). Its description in RNAcentral is "processed transcript". The record is from RNAcentral. Lineage: Eukaryota; Metazoa; Chordata; Mammalia; Primates; Hominidae.
GGCCGCGUGGCGCCCGCGCCGGCCUUCCUGCAGGGGACUCCACCGGAGCCUUGCCAAUUCCGUUUGUUUCCCUGUUGUCGCCCGCUUCACCCUGGAUCAUGUUCAAGAAGUUUGAUGAAAAGGAAAGUGUGUCCAACUGCAUCCAGUUGAAAACGUCAGUUAUUAAGGGCAUUAAGAGCCAACUGGUAGAGCAAUUUCCAGGGCCCCCCACAAAAGCAGCCUCGGGGACUCCGGCCUUUCCUUGAGACCUGCAUCUCUUCCCUUCUUCAUCGCCUGCUAGUGAACUGAGACUGCCGCUAACCUUCUUCAUCCUUUGGUGGCAAAGUAGAAAGAUUCCAGAAUUAACUCGACCUUUCUAAAGACCUGGGCUCAGUGGCAGCUGGCACUGACUGAGCACCCGCUAUGUGCCAGGCACUGUGCUGAAUGCAUUGUAAGGACUGUCUUACUUAUUCCCCCACAGCAGCCCUAAGAAGGGGUGCUGUUAUCCCCUUUUUACAGAUAAGAAAACUGAAGCUCAGAGAGGGCACUGCCUUCCCCAAGGUCACCCAGCUACAAGUAACAAAGCCUGUGCUUCUAACACCAAAGACCACUUCCCGCUGAUACUGUGCCAGGCUUGUAAGUCUCUCUCUGGGCCUCCAUUCCCUCCUGUAGGAAAUUGGAGGGGUUGGGGUGGCUCCAGUGAGCUCUCCCCUUCUGAAACUCAUACUAAUCUGGGGCAGCCAAGGCUUAGCCCCGCCAGCCUGUGAACCUCUCACAGUGCCCACAGCCAUGCCCUCCUCCGUCCAGGGGCUGACAGGUGGGAGGGGUAGCCCUGCCUCAAGGAGUGGACUUACCUGGCCUCUCUGCUCAGAGAUC